RNAcentral lists this small nuclear RNA (108 nucleotides) under Carlito syrichta (Philippine tarsier). The record is from RNAcentral. Lineage: Eukaryota; Metazoa; Chordata; Mammalia; Primates; Tarsiidae.
GUGCUCACUUCAGCAGCACAGAUACUAAAAAUUGGAACAAUACAGUAAAGGUUAGUAUGGCCCCUGUGCAAGGAUGACACCCAAAUUUGUGAAGUGUUCCAUAUUCUU